UACGUAGGGUGCGAGCGUUAAUCGGAAUUACUGGGCGUAAAGCGUGCGCAGGCGGUUCGUUAAGUCGGAUGUGAAAGCCCCGGGCUCAACCUGGGAACUGCAUUUGAAACUGGCGGGCUUGAGUGCGGCAGAGGGGGGUGGAAUUCCGCGUGUAGCAGUGAAAUGCGUAGAGAUGCGGAGGAACACCGAUGGCGAAGGCAGCCCCCUGGGCCGACACUGACGCUCAGGCACGAAAGCGUGGGGAGCAAACAGG
RNAcentral lists this ribosomal RNA (253 nucleotides) under uncultured bacterium. Its description in RNAcentral is "partial 16S ribosomal RNA". It matches the Rfam family "Bacterial small subunit ribosomal RNA", at positions 524 to 776 of the family's 1533-position model. The record is from RNAcentral.